This 253-nucleotide ribosomal RNA is filed under the name uncultured bacterium. RNAcentral's name for it is "partial 16S ribosomal RNA". It matches the Rfam family "Bacterial small subunit ribosomal RNA", at positions 524 to 776 of the family's 1533-position model. The record is from RNAcentral.
UACGAAGGGUGCAAACGUUGCUCGGAAUUAUUGGGCGUAAAGCGCACGUAGGCGGCUUUUCAAGUCCCAUGUGAAAGCCCACGGCUUAACCGUGGAAGUGCAUGGGAAACUGGAAGGCUUGAGUACUUAAGAGGAUCGCGGAAUUCCCGGUGUAGAGGUGAAAUUCGUAGAUAUCGGGAGGAACACCAGUGGCGAAGGCGGCGACCUGGGCCAAUAUUGACGCUAAUGUGCGAAAGCGUGGGGAGCAAACAGG